AGGAUAAACGCUGGCGGCGUGCCUAACACAUGCAAGUCGAACGCUCUCUGGCAACAGAGGGAGUGGCGGACGGGUGAGUAACACGUGGGUACCUACCCCAAGGUGAGGAAUACCGGCGAGAAAUCGCCGACAAUACCGCAUAGCUUUCGCAAGAAAGAAAGCUUCGCAAGAGGCGCCAUGGGAAGGGCCUGCGGCCGAUUAGCUAGUUGGUAAGGUAAAAGCUUACCAAGGCGACGAUCGGUAGCUGGUCUGAGAGGACGAUCAGCCACACUGGGAUUGAGAACGGCCCAGACUCCUACGGGGGGCAGCAGUGAGGAAUUUUCGUCAAUGGGGGCAACCCUGAACGAGCAACGCCGCGUGCAGGAAGAAGGUUUUCGGAUCGUAAACUGCUUUUCUCUGGGACGAGAACGGACGGUACCAGAGGAAUAAGCCCCGGCUAACUACGCGCCAGCAGCCGC
RNAcentral lists this ribosomal RNA (458 nucleotides) under uncultured bacterium. RNAcentral describes it as "SSU rRNA". It matches the Rfam family "Bacterial small subunit ribosomal RNA", at positions 26 to 518 of the family's 1533-position model. The record is from RNAcentral.